Molecule: ribosomal RNA, 253 nt
Filed under: uncultured bacterium
Lineage: Bacteria
Description: partial 16S ribosomal RNA
Rfam family: Bacterial small subunit ribosomal RNA
Source: RNAcentral
UACGAAGGGGGCUAGCGUUGCUCGGAAUCACUGGGCGUAAAGCGCACGUAGGCGGAUUGCUAAGUCAGGGGUGAAAUCCUGGAGCUCAACUCCAGAACUGCCUUUGAUACUGGCGAUCUUGAGUCCGGGAGAGGUGAGUGGAACUGCGAGUGUAGAGGUGAAAUUCGUAGAUAUUCGCAAGAACACCAGUGGCGAAGGCGGCUCACUGGCCCGGUACUGACGCUGAGGUGCGAAAGCGUGGGGAGCGAACAGG